AGUAGUGUAGGCUAAUUAAGCGUUCGGGUCCAUACCCCGAAACAUGAUGGUUGAAAUCCACCCCUACUG
RNAcentral lists this transfer RNA (69 nucleotides) under Xenodermichthys copei (bluntnose smooth-head). RNAcentral's name for it is "tRNA-Met". The record is from RNAcentral. Lineage: Eukaryota; Metazoa; Chordata; Actinopteri; Alepocephaliformes; Alepocephalidae.